UACGUAGGGACCAAGCGUUGUUCGGAUUUACUGGGCGUAAAGGGCGCGUAGGCGGCUUGUCAAGUCACUUGUGAAAUCUCUGGGCUUAACCCAGAACGGCCAAGUGAAACUGACAUGCUAGAGUGCAGAAGGGGCAAUCGGAAUUCCUGGUGUAGCGGUGAAAUGCGCAGAUAUCAGGAGGAACACCAAUGGCGAAGGCAGCUCGCUGGGACGGUACUGACGCUGAGACGCGAAAGCGUGGGGAGCAAACAGG
This 253-nucleotide ribosomal RNA is filed under the name uncultured bacterium. RNAcentral describes it as "partial 16S ribosomal RNA". It matches the Rfam family "Bacterial small subunit ribosomal RNA", at positions 524 to 776 of the family's 1533-position model. The record is from RNAcentral.